Molecule: ribosomal RNA, 492 nt
Filed under: uncultured bacterium
Lineage: Bacteria
Description: partial 16S ribosomal RNA
Rfam family: Bacterial small subunit ribosomal RNA
Source: RNAcentral
AGUGAGCGCUGGCGGUAGGCCUAACACAUGCAAGUCGAACGGCAGCACAGUAAGAGCUUGCUCUUACGGGUGGCGAGUGGCGGACGGGUGAGGAAUACAUCGCAAUCUACUUUUUCGUGGGGGAUAACGUAGGGAAACUUACGCUAAUACCGCAUACGACCUACGGGUGAAAGCAGGGGAUCUUCGGACCUUGCGCGAUUGAAUGAGCCGAUGUCGGAUUAGCUAGUUGGCGGGGUAAAGGCCCACCAAGGCGACGAUCCGUAGCUGGUCUGAGAGGAUGAUCAGCCACACUGGAACUGAGACACGGUCCAGACUCCUACGGGAGGCAGCAGUGGGGAAUAUUGGACAAUGGGCGCAAGCCUGAUCCAGCCAUACCGCGUGGGUGAAGAAGGCCUUCGGGUUGUAAAGCCCUUUUGUUGGGAAAGAAAAGCAGCAGGUUAAUACCCCGCUGUUCUGACGGUACCCAAAGAAUAAGCACCGGCUAACUUCGUG